UGGCGGACGGGUGAGUAAUGUCUGGGAAACUGCCUGAUGGAGGGGGAUAACUACUGGAAACGGUAGCUAAUACCGCAUAACGUCGCAAGACCAAAGAGGGGGACCUUCGGGCCUCUUGCCAUCGGAUGUGCCCAGAUGGGAUUAGCUAGUAGGUGGGGUAAAGGCUCACCUAGGCGACGAUCCCUAGCUGGUCUGAGAGGAUGACCAGCCACACUGGAACUGAGACACGGUCCAA
This 235-nucleotide ribosomal RNA is filed under the name uncultured bacterium. RNAcentral's name for it is "partial 16S ribosomal RNA". It matches the Rfam family "Bacterial small subunit ribosomal RNA", at positions 96 to 334 of the family's 1533-position model. The record is from RNAcentral.